UAAAUGAGCGACGCAAAUAACAAAUUUUCAGCAUUUCAGAUUUUGUUAUUCGCGUCGCAUUUUUAUUAUAAAGUGACGCAAAUAACUCUGUUGCACUUUAGGUUAUUCUUUUUUACCUUAGCUUUUCACGCCUACCUUUCACUAAUUCACUAAACAUAAAGAAAAAAAAAAUUGCAACAAAUUCAACAUCCAAAAUCGACCCUUCAAUCCAACAAAUUCGCCCAAAAAACACCCACAAAUUCGCCCAAAAAACUGCAAUUCCCCAGCAAAUUCAACAUCCAAAAUCGCAAUCAAGUUCAACACCCAUAAUCGGCAGCAAAUCCGAGCAAUUUCGAGCAAAAAUUUAGACCAAAAACCCUAAUUAAUUAGAAUCCUUAAACCCCAGAAAAAUUGAUUAUUUUCGACCAAAAAUCCCCCAUUUCGAGCAAAAAAUGUACUCAAUUCCAUACGAAUUCGAACCCUAGAAACCCCAAAAAAUUCAAUUAAAAAUCCUGCUGAAAAAUUCGAGCAAUAACUGAAAUUUUCGAGUGGAAAAUUCGUUGAAUUUUCGCCCCCAAAAACCCGAGGAAGUUCAAGCAAAUUACAGCAAUGUUGAAUUUUUGAAUUUUUGAGUGGAAAAAUCGCUUAAUUUCGUCCCCAAAAAUCGAUUUCGGCUCGACAUUGUUGAAUUUUUGAAAUCAAGUUCACCUAUGGCAUCAUCAUAAUGGGCGAUGGGUAGCACAAAUUGGGCGCGUUUAUGAGAACAAGUACCACUACUUAGGCACUUUCAGUAAUGUCCUGAACUCUAUUUCUCUCGUGCUUGCUCUUGUUCUAUGAGAUUUAGGAUCACGAGCACACACGCUUGAUAAAUAUUUCAUUUUUGUUUGAUAAAUACAAUUUGAUGUUAGCUACAAUCUUGAAUUAAAACUUUCCUCUUGUAUAUUUGUUGUGUUUAUAGGAUUUUUCAAGAACUACACUGUACACCGAGGAGGAGAUAAAUGAGAUCUGAGAUAUUUGGGCAGAGUAUUUUAUAUGUAAUGUUGAACUUUAGAUUUACCACUUAGCACAUGUUUGACUCUUGUUUUGGAUUAUAGGCUUGAAAUGAAGUAAUUUGGUUAAUUGGUGUUGGGAUGGUGAGUAUAAUGUCUAUGAUAUUGAGAUGUAAAUUAUUGGACAGGUUGUUAAUAUAAUGCCGUCAUUCCCAAUUUUAUGGGUAGGCCAAAUUACAAAGGAGACUCUGCCGAAAUUUACAUUUGCAUUAUUCAAUAAUAUUGCAUUUUAAUUUCAA
This is a long non-coding RNA of Chenopodium quinoa (quinoa), 1267 nucleotides long. RefSeq lists it as uncharacterized. Lineage: Eukaryota; Viridiplantae; Streptophyta; Magnoliopsida; Caryophyllales; Amaranthaceae. The transcript is spliced from 2 exons. The record is from RefSeq and is a predicted model, not a curated record.